UGUGUAGGCGGUUGCUUAAGUUUGGUGUGAAAUCUCCCGGCUCAACCGGGAGGGUGCGCCGAAUACUGAGUGACUCGAGUGCGGGAGAGGAGAGUGGAAUUCCUGGUGUAGCGGUGGAAUGCGUAGAUAUCAGGAGGAACACCGGUGGUGUAGACGGCUCUCUGGACCGUAACUGACGCUGAGACACGAAAGCGUGGGUAGCAAACAGGAUUAGAUACCCUGGUAGUCCACGCCCUAAACGAUGCAUAUUUGGUGUGGGCCGUUCAGUCGGUCCGUGCCGGAGCUAACGCGUUAAAUAUGCCGCCUGGGGAGUACAGUCGCAAGGCUGAA
Molecule: ribosomal RNA, 330 nt
Filed under: uncultured bacterium
Lineage: Bacteria
Description: bacterial SSU rRNA
Rfam family: Bacterial small subunit ribosomal RNA
Source: RNAcentral